AGAGUUUGAUCCUGGCUUAGGAUGAACGCUGGCGGCGUGCUUAACACAUGCAAGUCGAACGGAGUUUUAAACGGAAGUUUUCGGAUGGAAGUUUAGAAACUUAGUGGCGGACGGGUGAGUAACGCGUGGGUAACCUGCCUCAUACAGGGGGAUAACAGUUAGAAAUGACUGCUAACACCGCAUAAUAUAGCGAAACCGCAUGAUUUUGCUAUCAAAUAUUUAUAGGUAUGAGAUGGGCCCGCGUCUGAUUAGCUAGUUGGUGGGGUAAAGCCUACCAAGGCGACGAUCAGUAGCCGGCUUGAGAGAGUGACCGGCCACAUUGGGACUGAGACACGGCCCAAACUCCUACGGGAGGCAGCAGUGGGGAAUAUUGGACAAUGGGGAAACCCUGAUCCAGCGAACCGCCGCGUGAGUGAAGAAGUAUUUCGGUAUGUAAAGCUCUAUCAGCAGGGAAGAUAAUGACAGUACCUGACUAAGAAGCCCCGGCUAACUACGUGCCAGCAGCCGC
Molecule: ribosomal RNA, 508 nt
Filed under: uncultured bacterium
Lineage: Bacteria
Description: bacterial SSU rRNA
Rfam family: Bacterial small subunit ribosomal RNA
Source: RNAcentral